AAAUAUCAAAGGAAUCUGAAGUUAAGCCAUCAAAAACUACAGUGUCCUUUAUUUCCUCAUGAAAGGACCUGAUGAUGUUGAGGAGCUGAGGUGGACAUCCAAUCUUGGGACAAUUUUAUAAAGGCCAUCCCUGCUAACCAAGUCAAAAGCCUUCGUAAGAUCUAUGAAGCCUACAAAAGUGGCUGUCUUUGUUCCCUGCAUUUCUCCUUUAACUGUCUAAGGCAAAAUACCAUGUCAGUAAUGGACCUGUUGGCUCGAAAUCCACACUGUGAUUCUGGAUAGACUCUCUCUGCAAGCACCUGGAGCCUCUUCAGUACGACACAGCCUUCCCAGCUAACACACUUGCCAUCUGGAAAAGCCAACUCGUCAUGCCAACUUCCAUUGAGAUUUAGUUGAAGGAUGACAAGCUUAGGGGCUGAAGACCACUGGAGAGAUGAUUAAUAAUGCCUCACAGCCACCACAUGACUAAACAUAACCACAGGUUGCGGAACAGUUUUGGAAAACUAUUUCGGGCCACUCCCUCUUCCCUUAGCAACAAAGAUUUGCAACAACUACACAAUAAUUUAACUGGAAAUUCUUGAUAUGUGUGUUUGGCAGCUCUCUUCACCUCAACUGUAUAAGACAAAGACUACAUUAAAAAAAACCUCUUUAAAAGAUCUUAAAACCUUAGAAUAAAAGUUUUCUUUAAAAAUCAGUAUAUGUAGUAUGAAAUUGGGAAGGUUUACAUCAAAGUUUAAAGGUCUGAAUUUAAAAUUCAGUUGCAAAAACAACCACGUUACUAACUUAACAUUUACAGUGAUUCACUUAACAACUAUGGCAAGAAAGAUUGUAAAAUGGGUCAAAACACACGUAACAAAUGUCUUGCUUAGCAACAUAAAUUUUGGGCUCAAUUGUGGUGGUAAGUUAAAGACUACCUUUACAGGAGUAAUUUUAAAUUUCUGGUUGAACUUAACUCUUUGCCUUCCUUGACAUUCCUAAUUGUGUCCGGCAUCUGAAGCAAACCCUAUUAAGAACUGAUGCAAUUUCAGGACACCAUACACUUUAUUCUAUGGGUUAACUAUUUUACAUUAUUUAUUUUUCAUUCAUUCAUUCAUUUUCAUUCAUUUCAUUAUUUAUUUUUGCUGCUUGAGGCUUUAUGGAUAAUUUAUUUAUGAGUCAUCACAGACUAAGCUGUGUAGAAUUUUGGUAAAAAAAAUGAGCAUGUAAUUGGCCUUAUCCAUAUUCAGUUCAUUUGCAAAUAUUUUUUCUUUGCUAAAAAAAAAGUUAUAAUGGAUAGAUGGUUAUAGACAUUGCAAUUAGGACAUCCCUCUCCUGUUUUUGUGUAAAAAAAAAUUGAUUAAAUUUUGUUUUGUUUUUGAGCCAAAUAUUGAAAACAAUGGAUCAGUUAUAACUCUGGUGUUCAUAAACCUAAUAUAUGUAUGAAAAAGUAUCUUAAAUGAAUAUUUUAGCUUUAGGAGAAUAAUUUAUAGCUUUUCAAUUUAAUUUGCUAUUUACUAUAUUCAAAAUCUUCCCUCCGAACAGCACAGGAGAAUAUAUAUCCACAUGCAGACUAUUUUUGAAUUGCAUGUCAAGGACUUCACACUCUGAAGAAAGUUGGAUAAGGACACAAAUAAUAUGAGGGUCUAAGAGUAAAAGGAAACUUGUUUUAAUUUAAUUAUUAUGACAAUUAACUAUUAUACUUAUUGUCAUGUGAAAAAUGACACUAUGUAAAGUUUUGUCUUUUGUAACAUACAAAAAUGGGACUAUCAAUAAUAACAUACAAAAAUGGGACUAUCUUCAUUCAAACAAUAUAUAAAAAUAAAGGUAAUAUAAUUGGGAAAAGACUUGAAAAAAGUUGACUUUAUGCUAUCAUGUAUUCAAUAAUAACAACAAAAAUGCUUUUUCCUUCUGUGGCUCUAUUACUAGUUAUUGUCCUUUUUGGAAAAAAUAAACUCAAGCAGGCAUUUCUUAUAACUGUCUUAUAACUGUCUAGUGUCUCUGACAUAAUUGGGAAGAAGGUUUUCUCACUAUCUCAUGGUGAAUUUUUUCAGCUGUGGAAUUUUUGAGGGCAUUUCUUGCGUAAACAGCCCAUGCCAAAUCAUCCCACAGCACCUCGGGUGACCUUGGAAGACAGGGGGAAGAACUGCAGCCAGUGCAGUUUUUGAAUAAGUGGCUACUUGACCUGAAGCCGAAAUGUAGUUGUGGCAAACAUCUCAGAAGAGACUCAACGUCCUGGCCUAUAAAGGAGAUGGGGAGAAAUGUACUUUCAGAAUUACAAAAUUAUG
Pantherophis guttatus is the source of this 2264-nucleotide long non-coding RNA. RefSeq lists it as uncharacterized. The record is from RefSeq and is a predicted model, not a curated record. NCBI's taxonomy places the organism in Eukaryota, Metazoa, Chordata, Lepidosauria, Squamata, Colubridae.